Arabidopsis thaliana (thale cress) is the source of this 621-nucleotide long non-coding RNA. RefSeq annotates it as other RNA. The transcript has a single exon. Lineage: Eukaryota; Viridiplantae; Streptophyta; Magnoliopsida; Brassicales; Brassicaceae. The record is from RefSeq.
AGAGAAGCAAUAGAGAAGCAACGAUUCUUUUUACAACCGUAAGGAAAAUAAAUAAAAGGAAAGGCUGUAAAUAAAAAUAUAUACUUAGAGCAAAUAUAUGCUCUACACUAGUUAUGCAAUAAAGAACAACUUGUUGCCUGCUAAUUUAGACGAGGAUCCAUCCCUGAUAUCCUCUCAUCCUCCAACAGAGCAUAUGGAUCGAUGUAAGGUGGUGGUGAAACCGGAGUUCUACUUCCAUCAUGAAUGAAAUCUGCUCCAAAGUACUAUCAUUUCAACAAGAAAAAUCAGUUUAUGGUAAGAAACCUUAUCAAAUCCAUAGAAGAAAGGAACCUUAAAAACUCAUUCCAAAACACUUUCUACGGCGUGCGAGAAGAACGUGGAAGAAUACUGAUAAGCAUAAAUGUGAAUAGGACUUGGGUUGGAUCAGAGUUGAGGGUCUUAACUAGGUGGUUGGUUGGAAGAGCUAAGAGGUCUCUUUACAGUCUCCAAAAUACAUUUGCCACUUUCUUAGUAUUCAAGGACUAGAAUGAAGAAAAGUACACUCCUUGAUCUUAUUAAAUACUUACAAGGUAAAGAGCAGAGAAGGCGCCGAGAGUUAAGACUAUCAAUGGCCAAAAGCCC